RNAcentral lists this ribosomal RNA (253 nucleotides) under uncultured bacterium. RNAcentral describes it as "partial 16S ribosomal RNA". It matches the Rfam family "Bacterial small subunit ribosomal RNA", at positions 524 to 776 of the family's 1533-position model. The record is from RNAcentral.
UACGUAGGGUGCAAGCGUUAAUCGGAAUUACUGGGCGUAAAGCGUGCGCAGGCGGUUUCGUAAGUCUGUCGUGAAAUCCCCGGGCUUAACCUGGGAAUGGCGAUGGAGACUGCGAGGCUAGAGUUUGGCAGAGGGGGGUGGAAUUCCACGUGUAGCAGUGAAAUGCGUAGAGAUGUGGAGGAACACCGAUGGCGAAGGCAGCCCCCUGGGCUAACACUGACGCUCAUGCACGAAAGCGUGGGGAUCAAACAGG